Molecule: ribosomal RNA, 497 nt
Filed under: uncultured bacterium
Lineage: Bacteria
Description: partial 16S ribosomal RNA
Rfam family: Bacterial small subunit ribosomal RNA
Source: RNAcentral
GAUGAACGCUGGCGGCGUGCCUAAUACAUGCAAGUCGAGCGAACAGACGAGGAGCUUGCUCCUCUGACGUUAGCGGCGGACGGGUGAGUAACACGUGGAUAACCUACCUAUAAGACUGGGAUAAUUUCGGGAAACCGGAGCUAAUACCGGAUAAUAUAUUGAACCGCAUGGUUCAAUAGUGAAAGACGGUUUUGCUGUCACUUAUAGAUGGAUCCGCGCCGCAUUAGCUAGUUGGUAAGGUAACGGCUUACCAAGGCAACGAUGCGUAGCCGACCUGAGAGGGUGAUCGGCCACACUGGAACUGAGACACGGUCCAGACUCCUACGGGAGGCAGCAGUAGGGAAUCUUCCGCAAUGGGCGAAAGCUUGACGGAGCAACGCCGCGUGAGUGAUGAAGGUCUUCGGAUCGUAAAACUCUGUUAUUAGGGAAGAACAAAUGUGUAAGUAACUAUGCACGUCUUGACGGUACCUAAUCAGAAAGCCACGGCUAACUACGUG